Archocentrus centrarchus (flier cichlid) is the source of this 1924-nucleotide long non-coding RNA. RefSeq lists it as uncharacterized. Lineage: Eukaryota; Metazoa; Chordata; Actinopteri; Cichliformes; Cichlidae. The transcript is spliced from 4 exons. The record is from RefSeq and is a predicted model, not a curated record.
AUGACAGCGAGAGAGAGGGGUAGUAGCACAAGGGGUCGCACUUUCCAUGGGUCUAAGCCUCAAUAAAAGGGAAUCUGGCAGCGUUGUUGGGAGGUUCCAGUUUUCGGUGGGUGGCCAGGUGGUUGUUUGGCUUCACAUGCUUUGUGCAUGCGAUCGUGGGCCACAGAAGAACAAAGAUUGAAGUGGGAUUGCCUGGGCGUGGGGUUCGACUCCACAGGGCCACACUUGACGCUUUGCAGGAUUUGCCGUGACAGGGUGUGGGCUUAUUAGACACUACAGGAAAACACUGGAUGUACAUGACAACUAUUGAUUAACUGCUGAAAGAAAGUCAUCAAAAAUGGGAAACGCACCAUCAGAGAGCAACAUGGGCAACAACCUGAGAUGCUGGAAGUGUUAUAAAUUACUUCCUCCAUGCAAAAGCGAUCGAUUUUUUCCAACAGACUAUUAAUGGGCAACAUGUGUAUGCGUUCCAUGGAGGUCUAUAUUAUAGACCAGUUGGCCAGCAUAAUAUGUACGAGUGUAGGGAAUGCUUUUUUAAAAACUAGGAGAGAAGAGGCCUUUGGCUAACCCUAACCUUUUAACAAUCAUAGAAAAACAUUAUUACACAUAUUCACAACCCUGCAGAAAAGCAAUGUAUGAAUUUUCAGAAACUGAGAACAAGCCAGUCAUUGUUUACAGCACAGAACAUUUCCUUCCUCCAAACGGAGAUUAAAUGAGUUUGAAGAUAACCAUAAAUCAGGCAGUGGCAGUGAUGAGUUUCAAGAAAUGCAGUAUUCCAGUUUCAAUCUCAGUCUGAGACAGCUGAUCAACUGGAGACAGCUGAUCAACUUGGGGAUUGGGGGGUUUAGUAGAAGCCUAUGUGUCAUCUUUUGCUGCGUUCGUCAACCAGACAGCAUGUGGGGGUUUUCCAUGCUCACGCAUCAAAAUGAAGCCCACUUAGAAGCCACUAAAAUGCUCCUCAAACUAGUUGUUUAUAAACCAAUGGACCCCAAAUGGAGGCAGUCACGCUGCUCAAAGCACUGUCACAGAAAUAUGCACAUGAUGUUUCAAUAAGUGAAAUCCUUACCUUGGUACAAGACUAUGACAUAUCACCAGAUUGGACUGAUGAGUGUGGGAAAGGAGUUUUAGAUGAGGUCUUCAUUCUGAGCUUUCUUGAGGGUCUCCUGCAACUGUAAAUAAACAGAUGUUGAUUAAAAAAAAACAAAAAAAAAACAUGUCUCCUUCAGGCAAAUGAUGUUUGAAGAUUUUAUUUACCUGCGUGGAACAAUUUCAAGACUUAAAAGAAGAAACCAAAGAAGUCUUCAAGAUGGUUUCAAAUCUUGGAGAACAAAGACUUUGGUCACCAGUAAGUAAGUAAGUGAGUAAAAAAUUUUUUAUAUAAUACCUCUGAAGACAUAAAUCAUAAAGUGCUUCACAACACUAAAACAAAGUACAAUUGAGGUAAGGAGAAAAAAAAACUAACCAAACGCAAGUCUAAAAAAAUUAGUUUUUAGCUUUUUUUUUUUAAAAAAAAAAGACUCCACCGAAUCCACAGUUCUUAUACACAAGGGGAUAGAGUUCCCAAGUCAGGGAGCUACUUUUGCAAAAACUCUGUCUCCUUUAAUUUUCAGCCUUGUGUGAUGUAAGGCCAGUAGGCCUUUAUCACAUGACCUCAGAGGCCUGGGGGGAAUGUACGGAUGCAAGAAGUAUAUGUUGGGGCUUGACCAUGAAGACUUCUAUAAGUCAGGACCAGAAUCUUAAACUGGACUCUGAAAUUAAUGGGGAUUCAGUGUAGCUAGAGAUGCUCCUGGGAGUUUAGUAGAAGCCUUAACUUUCUAAAGCCUUUGACUUUCUAUUGCAUGGCACUGAACAGGAGUGGCCCUCCAAUCUCAUUGUACAUCCUGUAUAAUGACAAUAAAGGCAUUCUAUGCUAUUCUAUUCUAAA